AUUCCCCUAGUAACUGCGAGUGAAGCGGGAAAAGCUCAAAUUUAAAAUCUGGCAGUCUCUGGCUGUCCGAGUUGUAAUCUAGAGAAGUAAUGCCCGUGCUGGACCGUGUAUAAGUCUCCUGGGAUGGGGCGUCAUAGAGGGUGAGAAUCCCGUCUUUGACACGGACUACCAGUGCAUUGUGGUAUGCUCUCAAAGAGUCGAGUUGUUUGGGAAUGCAGCUCAAAAUGGGUGGUAAAUUCCAUCUAAAGCUAAAUAUUGGCGAGAGACCGAUAGCGAACAAGUACCGUGAGGGAAAGAUGAAAAGAACUUUGGAAAGAGAGUUAAACAGUACGUGAAAUUGCUGAAAGGGAAACGCUUGAAGUCAGUCGCGUUGGCCGGGAAUCAGCCUUGCUUUUGCAUGGUGUACUUUCUGGUUGACGGGUCAGCAUCAAUUUUGACCGCUGGAAAAAGGCCUGGGGAAUGUGGCAGCUUCGGCUGUGUUAUAGCCCCUAGUCGCAUACAGUGGUUGGGAUUGAGGAACUCAGCACGCCGCAAGGCCGGGUUUCGACCACGUUCGUGCUUAGGAUGCUGGCAUAAUGGCUUUAAGCGACCCGUCUUGAAACACGGACCAAGGAGUCUAACAUGCCUGCGAGUAUUUGGGUGGAAAACUCAAGUGCGUAAUGAAAGUGAAAGUUGAGAUCCCUGUCGUGGGGAGCAUCGACGCCCGGACCAGAACUUUUGGGACGGAUCCGCGGUGGAGCAUGUAUGUUGGGACCCGAAAGAUGGUGAACUAUGCCUGAAUAGGGUGAAGCCAGAGGAAACUCUGGUGGAGGCUCGUAGCGAUUCUGACGUGCAAAUCGAUCGUCAAAUUUGGGUAUA
Molecule: ribosomal RNA, 858 nt
Filed under: Agaricus gemlii
Lineage: Eukaryota; Fungi; Basidiomycota; Agaricomycetes; Agaricales; Agaricaceae
Description: eukaryotic LSU rRNA
Rfam family: Eukaryotic large subunit ribosomal RNA
Source: RNAcentral